CAGUAGCCGCGGGAAUACGUAGGUGGCAAGCGUUGUCCGGAAUUAUUGGGCGUAAAGGGCUCGCAGGCGGUUUCUUAAGUCUGAUGUGAAAGCCCCCGGCUCAACCGGGGAGGGUCAUUGGAAACUGGGAAACUUGAGUGCAGAAGAGGAGAGUAGAAUUCCACGUGUAGCGGUGAAAUGCGUAGAGAUGUGGAGGAACACCAGUGGCGAAGGCGACUCUCUGGUCUGUAACUGACGCUGAGGAGCGAAAGCGUGGGGAGCGAACAGGAUUAGAUACCCCAGUAGUCCCUGUCUCUUAUAC
Molecule: ribosomal RNA, 301 nt
Filed under: uncultured bacterium
Lineage: Bacteria
Description: partial 16S ribosomal RNA
Rfam family: Bacterial small subunit ribosomal RNA
Source: RNAcentral